ACCUGUAGGAAGAAGACAUGACAAAUGGUACACCAUUUCUGGAGCAAGUGCAUACUCCGUGGAAAACCUCUACCCCACAAAUACAGCCAGAGAACCACUGCCUGCAGUAAUCAGCCUCAGGAUUGUGUGGCCUUCCCAAUGUGAAUGUGAGCAGAGCUCUGCCCUUGUCUUAAACACCACGGAUAUGCACUCAGCGCUAAAGUGAAUAUGAGCAGAGUCUCUCACUGUCGUGAACAACUCUGGCAAUUAAUGGCACCCUACAAGAUGUGACUGUGAGCGCAGCUUCCCGUGUCCUGACAACAUCAGGCCCUGGAAGAGCCCUGCACAGUGUGGAUGUAGAACAGCUAUUCGACAUUCCAACAGUCCCAGGGAAGUGUGGCUCCUGUACAAAGAUGAGGCAAGCAGAGCCCCACAUGCUCCAGACAUCAGCAUCAUGCAUGAAGCCCUCUAUAGGGUGCAGGUCAGAAGAGGCACACCAUUUGUGGCUGGAUUCUCUUAGGUAGGUACAGUCCUUCAAGGACACAGAGGUGAGCAGAGCAGUGCACAGUUGUGCUUAUCUCGUGCAUGUGGAGCCCUUUUCAACAUGUAACACACACACAGCGGUCCAUUCCGUCAAUGCCUCAGGCCUGUGUGGAACUCUCCACCAGGAAAUGGGCACUGUGUGCCCACCCUUAAACCACCAUCUUAGGCUCUUAUGGAGCCCUAACGAAUCUCUAUAUGCAAUGCUCCUCCUGUACUGACAAGCUGAGGAAUGGGAGGAGCCCAGCCAGGUGCUGAUCACCCUUCCAAGUCAAGAAUCUUAGACAUGGAUGAUGUGAAUACACUUCCCGUGUGCAAACUUCUGCUGGGAUUAGGAGCCCUCUCAAGGUAAGUGGAAACACAGGUCUCACAACUCCAAUCCAUCAGCUACAUCGGACGCCUCUCCAUUAUGUUGUGAUAAAGGUCCCAUCACAUCCUCACAACCUCACAUGUUUGUGAGCACUAUAUAAAGUGACUCUGGGAACAGACUCCGCCAAUGUCCAAACUACAUCUCACCUAUGAGUUGAGCUGGAUUCCAUCUGCAUCUGGCUGGACUAGUGCAGGACUCAACUAUGAAGACUCCUGUCAAGAAUCUACUAUUCGAAUGUGGCCAGAGACUUCCACACAUAAAGAGACUGUACUUACAAACAAUAUAGGGAACCUGUGCAAUGUAUGUGUGAGAACGGCCACCCUUCAACAUGUCCUGAGACACUCAGGCAUUUGGGAACACUUGAGGGAGAUCAAUAUGAAGAAUGGGUCUCCACUUCCUGCCAACAGGGGUCUCCAGUCUCUACAGCAGGUAAGCAUAAGCAGGGCCUUUGCAUCUCUGUCACCUAUGGACCCUGCCGCCAUUGAGAGCACAGGAGCUCGACCUACUUCUGACCCUCACAUAGGAGUACAACCUCUGCAGCUUGGUUGUGACCAGAGCCACUUCCUGUGGUAAUGAUCACACACAUGUGCAGAGGCCUCCACAAUGAGGUUGUGAACAGAGAUGCCAAUUUCCUUCAUCCCUUAGCCACAUGUGGAUGACCUGCAAGGUGAGUAUGUGCAAAACAGCCCCUUUAUCACUGCACAAAUGUGCAUACACUCACAGACAUCUGUACACACAUAUGCAUCAUCACCAUCCCAGGCAGAUGUGCUGCCCUGUACAAACACAGACAUGAGUAGCAUCCUCCUGUGUCCUGAACAACUCAAGCCCAUACAGCAUGAUGGGAGCAGAGACUGCAUGUCCUACUAACAAUUCCUGUGCAUAGACUCAUCUGCACCAUGCAUGUGAGUAGCACAUUUUGCUCCUGACCUCUUGACCUGCUCUCAUGUGCACAACCCAUAGUCACAAGGACGACAUGGCCUGGGACUUGCAAGACAUUUGUGACCACAGAGGCAGCCUGGAGAAACCCCUCAAAUACCCAUUUAAGCAGCACCAAGCCAAAUCUUCACCACCUCUGGUAAGUACCACUAAGUCAUUUAAUUUCCUCAUCGCCACGGAGAUAUCCAUGGGAGCAGGCAAUUGUCAGGCCCUGUAGAACCAGGCUGUGAGCAGAAACCAAACUACCUGAUUCCCUCAAGGGUGAGGACACCUUGCAAAACAUACAUAGGACCAGAAUCUCCACACAUGUACCGACUGUCCAGGUUGGCAGUCACAAUCUUGAGGAGGUACAUGGGAGCAGACUCUGUCUCAGGCAAUAUGUGGCCCGCAGGACAGGGAUUUGAGCAGCCCCUGGACCCCUUGUGCCUACCCUCUGUGUCAGUUUUAGUGCCUGUUACACUGUGGAUCAGAAUGGAGGCCAGCACAUCCCAUCAAAGCAAGGAUAUUUUUAUUAAAGACCUGGACAUCCUCUGCGUGGCUAGAUCUUCAUACCAUCUGCACCACCUCAGGAAUAUGUGGAUAUGCGCAAGGCUAGAGUUCCACAUCCUGAUGGCCUCAUGCCUUGAUGGUGCCUGGUCGAUCAUGGACAAGAGAAGAGACCCUCCAAAUUGUGACAACUGCCAGUGUGUGUUACCUUUACAAUGUCAGUGUGAUCACAGCCCACAUGUUUUUGUGUCAUCAUCAUAUAAUGAGCCCCGUAAAAUGAGAAGAGCUGCGAUAUUCAUCCGAACUCAGGCCCCUGGAAAACUUUUCCAGUGUGGGUAUGACCAGCAGCACCCUAUGUGGUUAUCAGCUUUUCAAUGUGAGGAGCCCUCUUCAGUGUGAAUGGAAGCAGCGUACACUAAGUUCUCCGGAGCAUAGGUCUCAUUAUGCGGUUCGGGCUGGCCUUCAGUUCACUUUGUAGCUCAGGCUGGGCACAAACUCACAGCAAUUCACCUGUGUGCCUCAGCUCCAAGUGUUGGGAUUACACCACCACCCUGGCUUAAACACUUCCGUAAAAAUCCUGAUCAUCUUCAUGGUAUGAGGAUCCAUAUACAACAUGGAGAUCAUUUCAGCCAACUGAAGGAUCAUCUGUCAAAAAUAAUCUCAGGAUCACAGGAGAUCAGCUUUCCUGUUACACACAUCACACACUGCAAAGCUGAGAAAAGGUGCAGAAUUAUUACUCUGGGACUGAGAUGUAGGAAGGUGCCAUGAGACUGAUAGAGUGCCUGAUCCAUUUCAGAAACAAUAUCUCAAGUUUGAACCAGGCACAGCCUGAAUUUGGAAGGUGAACCGAAUACCGCCCUCUGUGCACUGUCAUCCUACAUGGCCAGAUCUGGACUGAUGGACUGCAGCUCAGGACACUGUCAAUCCUCCUGAUUUCAGCAAAGGCCUCCUGGUGACAUCCUGUGAAAAGGUUCCAUAGUGGAGCCCAGACACCUGUAUGGCAAGUAGGCUGUUUAACAAACCCUCAACAUGGAACCCAAGCCUGCUUCCAGGCCCAAGGGAGAGGAAAGGUGAAUGUGCCAGCCAGAGCUCCAGCACGAGACAGCCCUGAGGCAUGGGUGGCUCUUAGUUUUCUCCAUUGAGAUCUGCCUAAGACGCAGACAUCACACAGCUCAAAAUGCAUGGAUGUCAAUGGUUAGAGAACUGUUUGGCUUAUGUACCUUCAUCACGGACUCAAGCACAGAUCCCAAAGUAUUUCUGCAAAGUCGAGGUCAACACUAUAAUGGUGGAUGCCACUCACCAAAACACAACCACACUUAGAUUACAGGGACACAGGGACACACCAGAGCCUACUGUGUAGGCAAGCUCUGUAUCUUCCCAGCACCACAACUCUGCAUCACUCUGACUUUACAGCUGUGCUUUUCAGCACUUCCCUGGGGACAUGCAAGGGCCAUGGUGCAGAAGCUCAUUAGAGGACUCAAAGAAAAAAAGGCAUCUGUGUAUCCUAUGGCCAUUAUACCACCUCCCACUGACUACCAAAUGUAGACAAAAAUGGGGUGAAGCUAUCUGCCCAAGGUGACUCACUGGAGGAAAACACUUGGCUUAGUCCUAGAGCUGGCAACUCCAGAGCGCUGCCUACCACCCAGUGCACCUCAAUGAUUUGCACUCAGUGCUCAGUACUGCUGCCUUUAUUCAAAAGUGCAUAUAAAUCCUUCAGGCUACAGGAAGGUUCUUUUACAAAUUCCCUAACCUGAAUAUGAUUCUUAUGGAUCUGAAAUGUACCAAUAAUCAUAAUUAUGAAAGGAAAAAUGAUAAAAAUAAAAGUGUUCUCACAGUAUCAAAUUUUAAGUUGUACUCAGGCUUUCUCUGCCCUGAGGCUUGAUGCAAAACUGUGGCCUUCCUAGGCCACUUGGAGCCCUCACACUCGCCCACAUCAGGCACCAGGCACGUCUGUGAUUCUUGCCACUGACAACUGGUAGGAAGGAGGAGCAAUUGCUUUUAGUAAAGAUGCAACAAUUCCAGUUAAGCUUUUCUCACCUUUUCAUGAGAGCAGAAAAAGGAAAACUACUAACAUGUCUUUGUAAGUGUGUAAGCAACCAUCAGAAUGAGUGUGUAUUUGCAGACAUUAGUUUGGCACAGCACAUGUCCCUUCAGGCACUGUAGGAACAACUGGGUGACCACCAGAGCGUCCACCCCAUGGAAGGAUGGGCCAUGGAGCACCACACAGCAGUUUGAAAGCAGAAUCCCCAUGCCACACCGAGACGCCUACCAUGGUCAGCUGGAAAAUCAGGCAAUGGAGAGCCAGGGUGUAGCCUUGGCCUUUAGGAGACACAUUUUUGCACAAACACAGAAAUUUGUGUAUCAAACACAGCGGGACUCAUUUCCUGAACUGUGACUAAGAAGCAGACUUCUUUGUUCUUAACGUAGGCCCUUCUGAGCUAUGUGAAUGUCUCAACCAAGCACUUAAGAAAAAUAACAAUCAAUUAGAAUGUCUCAGCAGAAAGCUGAGCUCCCACAUCAAGAGGCUCCAGCUCAAAGGGAGGAUGGAAAAAUGAACAUAAGGUCAGAUGUAGGAUCUUCUGUUCAUGGUGUACGUAAGAUAGUAUGAGCUGCACGGAAUGGUACAUACCUGUAAUCCCAGUAUGCAAGAGGCUGAGGCUGGAUGACUCCAUGGUCCACUCUCACAAUUUGGAUGGUAU
Molecule: long non-coding RNA, 5010 nt
Organism: Cavia porcellus (domestic guinea pig)
Lineage: Eukaryota; Metazoa; Chordata; Mammalia; Rodentia; Caviidae
Exons: 4
Source: RefSeq, a predicted model, not a curated record